Molecule: ribosomal RNA, 44 nt
Filed under: Cortinarius brunneus
Lineage: Eukaryota; Fungi; Basidiomycota; Agaricomycetes; Agaricales; Cortinariaceae
Description: partial 18S ribosomal RNA
Rfam family: Eukaryotic small subunit ribosomal RNA
Source: RNAcentral
GUSNUAACAAGGUUUCCGUAGGUGAACCUGCGGAAGGAUCAUUA